Long non-coding RNA from Onychomys torridus (southern grasshopper mouse), 1392 nucleotides. RefSeq lists it as uncharacterized. The transcript has 4 exons. NCBI's taxonomy places the organism in Eukaryota, Metazoa, Chordata, Mammalia, Rodentia, Cricetidae. The record is from RefSeq and is a predicted model, not a curated record.
CAGGAGGGAGUCGGGCUCCAUGGUGUGUGGGCCCCUGGGCCACGGCCCCACCUGAUUUAUGAACCGAGGCCGUCUCCAUGAGCGCCUGAGCUUCUUUUGUAUUCCAUCUGGCGGCUUCUCCAACUAGAUGACUGGGUAUUCCUGCAAGCAGGGCCUCUUUCCAGCCCUCGCCUUCAUACAGCACAUUUAAAGUAGCAGUAACCUCUUUUCCCUCCCCCAGCAGCCUGCCUGGAAACAUUAGAAGGGACCGAGGCGGCGGCGAGAUGUCUAAAAUAGGAAGACGCUGGGGACGGCUGGCCUGGCUGCCCGCGAUGCUGGCUGCGGGGAUCUGGUCCGGCAGUGCAGAUGGAAAAGCUAGGAGACAGGGUCUCAUGUAGCCCCAGGCUGGUGAAGAAUUCAUUUGUGUAGCCAAGGAUGGCCUUGAACUUCUCAUCUCGUGGCUUCCACUCGUCAAGUACUGGACUCAUGUGCCUGGUUUUCCUUUCAGUGCCAGGAUUUCAUGCAUUCUAGAAAGGCCACACCAACAGACCAGCAUGGAGAUUACAGCUAACUCUGUCCUAGGCUUGGCCAAGCAGGAGAUCAUCUGGAUCUAAGGAAGACUCAAUGAUCAGAAAUCUGAGUGCGAGAAGAGGGUCCAGGGGCUGGAAGCAGCUGGCAGUCUAGCAGUGCCACCGUGUGGGAGAGGUGGGCCAGCACGACAGGAAUGGACGUUCCAUUCAGCCCAGCAUACCUUUUCUGCUUGGUACAGGUGAUUGAACCUAAGUACGGUUUGGCUAUAUCCCCAGCCUCCUUUUACUUUACUUUUUGUUUUCUUUAAAAAAAAAUUUUUUUUUUUUUUUUGGAGACAAGGUUUCGUUAGGUUGCCCAGGCUAAACUUGAACUCACUCUGUAGCACAGCCUUGAACUUGAAAUCCUCCUGUUUCAGCCACCUGAGUAGCUGGGGUUCCAAGGACAUUUCAUUAUAUACAGACUUUCAUGAUGCAAUUUUAAUUCACUUCUUCAAGAUGAAAACAUCAUUGGUCUGUAGGUGACUGGCAAUUAAUAAGUAAUACAUAACUAAUGAAAAUAUGUCAAUGACAUGCAUUCUGUAGGAGACAAAAGUGGACAGUGGUUUUUCGUUUUUCUUUUUCAGAAUUAUCACCUCUUAUCCUGCCAAGUUAAACAUGGAUUGCACUUUGUCAAAUAGGCUUCAGAGCUUUUUCUGCUGAAAAUGGUGUGUGUGUGUAUGUGUGUGUGUGUGAUUGUGUGUGUGAUUGUGUUGUAUAUACAAAUGAGACCAUAUUGUGCAUGCGUCAUUCUGAAAUUUGUUUUGCCUUUUAAAUUUGUCUUUGCUAACCAAAGAACAGAGACUAAAGAAUAUUUGGCAUAUUAAAGUCGGUGAAUCAUGUUGAA